UACGUAGGGGCAAGCGUUAUCCGGAAUUACUGGGCGUAAAGGGUGCGUAGGUGGUUUCUUAAGUCAGAGGUGAAAGGCUACGGCUCAACCGUAGUAAGCCUUUGAAACUGGGAAACUUGAGUGCAGGAGAGGAGAGUGGAAUUCCUAGUGUAGCGGUGAAAUGCGUAGAUAUUAGGAGGAACACCAGUUGCGAAGGCGGCUCUCUGGACUGUAACUGACACUGAGGCACGAAAGCGUGGGGAGCAAACAGGAUUAGAUACCCGGGUAGUCCCUGAGCGGGCU
This 282-nucleotide ribosomal RNA is filed under the name uncultured prokaryote. Its description in RNAcentral is "partial 16S ribosomal RNA". It matches the Rfam family "Bacterial small subunit ribosomal RNA", at positions 524 to 817 of the family's 1533-position model. The record is from RNAcentral.